Molecule: small nuclear RNA, 104 nt
Organism: Macadamia integrifolia
Lineage: Eukaryota; Viridiplantae; Streptophyta; Magnoliopsida; Proteales; Proteaceae
Source: RefSeq, a predicted model, not a curated record
AUUUUUAUUUAGAGACAUGAGAUAGAAUUAGUAUAGUACAGAGAAGAUUCUCAUGCCUCUAUGUAAGGAUGAUAUGCACAAAUAGAGAAAUGGUCUAGAUUUAA